UACGGAGGAUCCAAGCGUUAUCCGGAAUCAUUGGGUUUAAAGGGUCCGUAGGCGGUCAGGUAAGUCAGUGGUGAAAGCCCAUCGCUCAACGGUGGAACGGCCAUUGAUACUGCUUGACUUGAAUUAUUAGGAAGUAACUAGAAUAUGUAGUGUAGCGGUGAAAUGCUUAGAGAUUACAUGGAAUACCAAUUGCGAAGGCAGGUUACUACUAAUAUAUUGACGCUGAUGGACGAAAGCGUGGGUAGCGAACAGG
Molecule: ribosomal RNA, 253 nt
Filed under: uncultured bacterium
Lineage: Bacteria
Description: partial 16S ribosomal RNA
Rfam family: Bacterial small subunit ribosomal RNA
Source: RNAcentral